This 393-nucleotide ribosomal RNA is filed under the name uncultured bacterium. Its description in RNAcentral is "partial 16S ribosomal RNA". It matches the Rfam family "Bacterial small subunit ribosomal RNA", at positions 523 to 918 of the family's 1533-position model. The record is from RNAcentral.
AUACGGAGGAUGCGAGCGUUAUCCGGAUUUAUUGGGUUUAAAGGGUGCGUAGGCUGUGCGUUAAGUCAGGGGUGAAAUGCCGUCGCUCAACGACGGAGCUGCCCUUGAUACUGGCGUGCUGGAGUACGGAUGCCGUUGGAGGAAUGAGUGGUGUAGCGGUGAAAUGCUUAGAUAUCACUCAGAACACCGAUUGCGAAGGCAUCUGACGAAUCCGUCACUGACGCUGAGGCACGAAAGCGUGGGGAUAGAACAGGAUUAGAUACCCUGGUAUUCCACGCCGUAAACGAUGAUGACUAACCGUCGGAGAUAGACAGCCGGUGGCCAAGCGAAAGCGAUAAGUCAUCCACCUGGGGAGUACGUCGGCAACGAGGAAACUCAAAUGAAUUGGCGGGG